Molecule: unclassified non-coding RNA, 457 nt
Filed under: Hevea brasiliensis (rubber tree)
Lineage: Eukaryota; Viridiplantae; Streptophyta; Magnoliopsida; Malpighiales; Euphorbiaceae
Source: RNAcentral
GGGUGGGUGCUUCAGCUCAGACAUAAUGGCGGCGGUGGACCAGGCCGUUGCUGACGGGGUAGACGUGCUGUCCAUCUCCCUCGGCGGCGGUGUCUCUUCCUACUACCGUGACAGUCUCUCCGUCGCCGCUUUUGGUGCCAUGGAGAAGGGAGUGUUUGUGGCCUGCUCGGCUGGCAACAGCGGGCCGGAGCCGAUCAGCCUCACCAACGUAUCUCCAUGGAUCACUACAGUCGGAGCCAGCACCAUGGACCGGGACUUCCCGGCCACCGCCAAGCUCGGGAAUGGCAUGAAUGUGAGUGGUGUCUCUCUAUAUAAAGGCCGGGCAAGCCUCUCGCCGAGCCGUCAGUAUCCGUUGAUCUAUAUGGGCGGCAACUCCACCAGCAGCCCCGACCCGAGAUCCCUCUGUCUAGAAGGUACUCUUGACCGCCGCACCGUCGCCGGAAAGAUUGUCAUCUGC